UACGUAGGAUGCGAGCGUUGUCCGGAAUUAUUGGGCGUAAAGAGAACGUAGGCGGUUUGUUAAGUUUGGGCUUAAAGACUGGGGCUCAACCCCAGGAGUGGCUCGAAAACUGACAGACUAGAGGAUGGCAGAGGAAAGUGGAAUUCCCAGUGUAGCGGUGAAAUGCGUAGAUAUUGGGAGGAACACCAGUGGCGAAAGCGACUUUCUGGGCCAUUCCUGACGCUGAGGCGCGAAAGCGUGGGGAGCGAACAGG
RNAcentral lists this ribosomal RNA (253 nucleotides) under uncultured bacterium. RNAcentral's name for it is "partial 16S ribosomal RNA". It matches the Rfam family "Bacterial small subunit ribosomal RNA", at positions 524 to 776 of the family's 1533-position model. The record is from RNAcentral.